Vicia faba (fava bean) is the source of this 246-nucleotide non-coding RNA. NCBI's taxonomy places the organism in Eukaryota, Viridiplantae, Streptophyta, Magnoliopsida, Fabales, Fabaceae. The record is from the annotation of a GenBank genome assembly.
AUGAAUGACAGUAUUUAUAUAUUCGUUGUUUCUGAUCCCUUCCCAUUUCUAUUUACAAAUGGAUAUCAUCCCUUUGCUUUUCUGACUUCUUUUUUUGUUCUUUCGGUCACUGAUGGAUGCAGGUCAGGUCAGAUUUGUAUGAAACACCGAUGUAACAAUUGUUUUUGUCUGGUUCAUCCUGCAUACUCGAACAUACCUGUUUGUUUUUCUUGUAUACACAGUUAUGACAGACAGUUCCCAUGUUGA